This 985-nucleotide long non-coding RNA is filed under the name Trifolium pratense (red clover). Its description in RNAcentral is "long non-coding RNA (TPRA_LNC006248)". The record is from RNAcentral. Lineage: Eukaryota; Viridiplantae; Streptophyta; Magnoliopsida; Fabales; Fabaceae.
CCAUCAAUUGAUUCUCAUGAUGCUCUUUCAACAUUAAGAAUUGGCACCUGCAAAAUAAACAAGAAAACAUAUAUAAGAGAUUCAUAUGAACCGAAGAAACAAUAUAUAUGUAAAAAUAAAAAUAAACCUUGUCAUACUCAGGAAGAGAGAUUGUGCAGCUUUAAACAAAUAUAUACAAAAGAAAGCAAAAACAAAUAUAAUUAUAAUAAGGGACUCGCACAAAUGUUAGUAAACCAUAGUUCACAUAGAUCUAAUAACAAAGCACUUUGACAAAAAUUAUGUCAACACUAAGAUUUUAUUUUUACACAACAAUGUUUAGAUUACCUUUCAAUUAUAACUUCUUACUAGCUUUCUAUUCAUUUUCCCAGUUUUUUUUGGCUAACAACAGAAUCAAACAUUACCUUCACAAGCAGAAAAACAACUAUUGUUUUCACCAAACCUAUCAAAUGAGAAACUAGGAUCAAUAAUUAACAUAAACCAUUAACCAAAAAGAGAGACAUAUCAUAAGAUCUAGAUAUUAUUAUAUACCUACCACGUAGAUCUGAUGAGAAAUGUGUGGAUCUGAAGAUUAUUAUAUUUACCAUGUAGAUCUGAUAUGCCUCUUUGUUCCUCAACGAUGAGCAGCUUUAUAUAUUUCUUCUUGUGUAUACCAUGAUAGAAAAACAAAAAGAAAAUCGUUCAGAGUUGUGAAAACUUAAAACGAAAAACACGGUAAAGAAAUCAAACACGAAGAAAAUGGAGGAGAUAUGGUAGGGACUUUGAGUUCGACGGCGGUGGCGGGAUGUGACGGCGGAGAACGAGUUGAGAAAACGGAGGAGAAGCAGCGAAUUGACGGCGGCGGCUGAGUUUUUCACUAUGCUGCUAGGGUUUAGAAAAAUCACAAAGUGUGAGUGGGAGAGGGAACACAAUGAAUUGGCCAAAGUUAAGUGGAAAAACUUACUCUACGACGUGUUGUAUUUAUUAUUAAUAAUAAAUAAUAAAAAUG